Molecule: ribosomal RNA, 460 nt
Filed under: uncultured bacterium
Lineage: Bacteria
Description: partial 16S ribosomal RNA
Rfam family: Bacterial small subunit ribosomal RNA
Source: RNAcentral
CCUACGGGUGGCAGCAGUGAGGAAUAUUGGUCAAUGGACGAGAGUCUGAACCAGCCAAGUAGCGUGAAGGAUGACUGCCCUAUGGGUUGUAAACUUCUUUUAUAUGGGAAUAAAAUGUUCCACGUGUGGGAUUUUGUAUGUACCAUAUGAAUAAGGAUCGGCUAACUCCGUGCCAGCAGCCGCGGUAAUACGGAGGAUCCGAGCGUUAUCCGGAUUUAUUGGGUUUAAAGGGAGCGUAGGUGGAUUGUUAAGUCAGUUGUGAAAGUUUGCGGCUCAACCGUAAAAUUGCAGUUGAUACUGGCAGUCUUGAGUACAGUAGAGGUGGGCGGAAUUCGUGGUGUAGCGGUGAAAUGCUUAGAUAUCACGAAGAACACCGAUUGCGAAGGCAGUUCACUGGACUGCAACUGACACUGAGGCUCGAAAGUGUGGGUAUCAAACAGGAUUAGAUACCCCAGUAGUC